Molecule: ribosomal RNA, 510 nt
Filed under: uncultured bacterium
Lineage: Bacteria
Description: partial 16S ribosomal RNA
Rfam family: Bacterial small subunit ribosomal RNA
Source: RNAcentral
GACGAACGCUGGCGGCGUGCUUAACACAUGCAAGUCGAACGAAGAGCGCUGGAUGCUUGCUUCUAUCCGUCUUAGUGGCGAACGGGUGAGUAACGCGUAAUCAACCUGCCCUUCAGAGGUGGACACCAGUUGGAAACGCCUGCUAAUACCGCAUACGCUCCAUUCUCGGCAUCGGUAGUGGAGGAACGGUGGCCUCUAUUUAUAUGCUAUCACUGAAGCAUGGGAUUGCGUCUGAUUCGCAAGUUGGAGGGGUCACGUCGCACCAAGGCGAUGAUCAGUAGCAGGUCGGAGAGGAUGAGCGGCCACAUUGGGAGUGAGACACGGCCCAGACUGAUACGGGAGGCAGCAGUGGGGAAUCGUGCGCAAUGGACGAGAGUCUGAGGGAGCAACGCCGCGUGAGGGAUGACGGACGUCGGGUUGUAAAGCACUGUUAAUGGGGACGAAUGGUUCUUGUGCGAAUAGUGCGAGGAUGUGACGGUACCGGAAAAGAAAGCCACGGCUAACUACGUG